RNAcentral lists this transfer RNA (72 nucleotides) under Camelus bactrianus (Bactrian camel). It matches the Rfam family "tRNA". From Rfam's summary of the family: Transfer RNA (tRNA) molecules are approximately 80 nucleotides in length. RNAcentral also lists the same sequence under 2 other names. Lineage: Eukaryota; Metazoa; Chordata; Mammalia; Artiodactyla; Camelidae. The record is from Rfam by way of RNAcentral.
CGGAGUUUAGCUCAGUGGUAGAGCGCAUGCUUAGCAUGCGUGAAGCCCUGGGUUCAAUCCCCAGUACUUAAA